RNAcentral lists this long non-coding RNA (293 nucleotides) under Homo sapiens (human). RNAcentral's name for it is "non-protein coding lnc-USP51-5:1". The record is from RNAcentral. Lineage: Eukaryota; Metazoa; Chordata; Mammalia; Primates; Hominidae.
AUGAUUUGGAGAGUAAGAUCAACAUAUAGGCCUAGACCAAGGAGAAGCGUACCACCUCCUGAGCUGAUUGGGCCUAUGCUGGAGCCCAGUGAUGAGGAACCUCAGCAAGAGGAACCACCAACUGAAAGUCGGGAUCCUACACCUGGUGAGGAGAGAGAAGAUCAGGGUACCUGACCUGGAAACUGAUCUCCAGGAGCUGUCUCAGUCAAAGACUGGGGAUGAAUGCAGAGAUGGUCCCGAUGACAAGGGGAAGAUUCUGCCAAAAUCAGAGCAAUUUAAAAUGCCAGAAGGAG